RNAcentral lists this unclassified non-coding RNA (2127 nucleotides) under Trichogramma pretiosum. RNAcentral's name for it is "protein spinster, transcript variant X2". Lineage: Eukaryota; Metazoa; Arthropoda; Insecta; Hymenoptera; Trichogrammatidae. The record is from RNAcentral.
CGGAGAGACUUCCAGUGCCGUGUGCCUUAUAGCUCUCUACCCUAUUUAGCGAGACGACCGAAGUCAGUCGUGCUCGAGACGCGCGCGCCUUGCUGCUCCGAUGUCGAUCAUGUCUCAUGUGUGUUGUUUGUCCUCGCGCGGUCUCGUUGUCAUGCGUGCUUGAACCUUCGUAUAUCGUCAGGCGCUCUCUACUCCGUUCUGACUUUUAAUAUAUAUAUAGAUAGAUAUUAUACAUAUAACGUAUGUUGUGCGUACUGUUGUGUAUACACAAACUGGCAUAGUCAAGAGGACACAAACAUCGAGUACAGAGUCGUACAAGCAGCAGACGACCAUGGCAGAGCCAGCUAGGAUACCGGCUAAUGUGUCCCAGCAGUAUCUCAUGGACAACGAUGCCAACCAGAUGGCCAAUUCGACCACCAGUUCGUCUCUCGAUACAUCCGUCAAUAGCUAUGCGUCCCAGUCCAAUGGCAAGGAUAAACUUCGGCCGAGUGCGGCCGAUAACACUGAUGGAUCCUCCUUGAAAUCUGUCAAAACCAGCGAGUGGGUAGCCGUGUUUGUGCUCUGCUUUGUUAAUCUCAUCAAUUACAUGGAUAGAUUUACCAUAGCUGGUGUUCUUAGAUCUAUUCAAAGUGAUUUAAAAAUAGAUAAUAGUAAAUCUGGUUUACUUCAAACAGCAUUUAUUAUUAGUUAUAUGGUUUUUGCUCCAUUAUUUGGCUAUCUUGGUGAUCGAUAUAAUAGAAAAAUACUUAUGGCAGCAGGUGUAUUUUUAUGGUGCUUAACUACAUUUGUUGGCUCAUUUAUGGAGUCUUAUGGAUGGUUCCUAUUUUUCCGAGCACUCGUUGGGAUUGGAGAAGCAAGUUAUUCGACAAUUGCUCCAACAAUAAUUAGUGAUCUUUUCAUCAAAGAUGUGCGUUCGAAAAUGCUGGCAUUAUUUUAUUUUGCCAUUCCUGUUGGAAGCGGUUUAGGUUAUAUAACUGGUGGAGAAACUGCAAGAAUCACUGGUCAGUGGCAGUAUGGUUUGAGAAUUACACCAGUUUUAGGCAUUUUUGCCAUCAUAUUCAUUUUGACUCUAGUACGCGAUCCCAUUAGAGGUGAAAGAGAAGGAGGAUCUCAUAUGUCUGAAUCUAAUUGGUCCAUUGAUAUCAAAGCUUUGAUGAUAAACCGAAGUUUUAUGCUUUCCACGGCUGGCUUUACUUGUGUAUCGUUCGUGACCGGUGCUCUUGCAUUCUGGGGACCUGUAUUUAUUCAAAAUGGGCUAAAAUUGCAUGGUGACCAAAAUGACGUUUCUCUAGACGAAGUGUCUUAUAAAUUUGGCGUCACUGCGAUGAUCGCCGGCUUACUUGGAGUACCGUUUGGCUCGUUAUUAGCACAAAAGCUUAGAAUUCGUUGGCAGCAAGCUGAUCCACUUAUUUGCGCCGCCGGCCUGCUCAUUAGCGCUCCGCUCAUAUUUUUCGGUGCAAUUUUUGCUCGCUCCAACACCAUAGCUUGCUAUACAUUUAUAUUUUUCGGACAAUUAGCUCUCAAUCUCAAUUGGUCGAUCGUCGCCGACAUGCUGUUGUACGUUGUUCUGCCCACGCGAAGAUCGACCGCCGAGGCGUUUCAAAUUCUAUUUGCCCACGCUUUCGGUGACGCUGGUAGUCCUUAUUUGAUAGGUGUUAUUUCCGAUGCUUUGAAACACGCACUGCUGCCCACUCUGACAGCUGGUAUGACCAUAGCUUCCAAUUCUUCGACAACUGUUACGCCUACCGAUUCAGACGAAGAUCCAGAAGCGGCGUUCCGAAGUUUGCAAUACGCACUUUUUCUCACAAUUUUCGUCGAAGUUCUGGGUAGUUUAUUCUUUUUCCUCACUGCUCUAUAUAUUAAGAAAGACAAAGAUCGAGUCGAUCUUAUCAUUAAAGAAAAUAUUCUAGAUACUAGAAAAAAUGGCCUGGCUGAGUCGACGCGUUUAUAAAAAAAAUUAAUAAACCAAGACUUGCUGCGUAAUCGGAGAGAGAGAGAAAAAAAAAUAGUGAUAUUGCUGUACAUACGUUAUAAGUAAUGAAGCCACGUCAGAAUCUGAAACAUCGUGCGAAAUUGACGAGGAGCGAGGAUCGGGCAAUCGACUCAUUCGACCGGAUUGAGCGUCGG